This 238-nucleotide ribosomal RNA is filed under the name uncultured bacterium. Its description in RNAcentral is "partial 16S ribosomal RNA". It matches the Rfam family "Bacterial small subunit ribosomal RNA", at positions 96 to 334 of the family's 1533-position model. The record is from RNAcentral.
UGGCGGACGGGGGAGUAACGCGUGGGUAACCUGCCUCAUACAGGGGGAUAACAGUUAGAAAUGGCUGCUAAUACCGCAUAAGACCACAGCACCGCAUGGUGCAGGGGUAAAAACUCCGGUGGUAUGAGAUGGACCCGCGUCUGGUUAGCUGGUUGGUGGGGUAACGGCCUACCAAGGCGACGAUCAGUAGCCGACCUGAGAGGGUGACCGGCCACAUUGGGACUGAGACACGGUCCAA